AGUAANACGUGGGUAACCUGCCUUAUAGUGGGGGAUAGCCUUUCGAAAGGAAGAUUAAUACCGCAUAAGAUUGUAGUAUCGCAUGAUAUAGCAAUUAAAGGAGCAAUUCGCUAUAAGAUGGACCCGCGUCGCAUUAGCUAGUUGGAGGGGUAACGGCCCACCAAGGCGAUGAUCAGUAGCCGGUCUGAGAGGAUGAACGGCCACAUUGGGACUGAGACACGGCCCAGACUCCUACGGGAGGCAGCAUG
RNAcentral lists this ribosomal RNA (248 nucleotides) under uncultured bacterium. RNAcentral's name for it is "partial 16S ribosomal RNA". It matches the Rfam family "Bacterial small subunit ribosomal RNA", at positions 109 to 353 of the family's 1533-position model. The record is from RNAcentral.